GCUGAUUCACUUAUACUCAUUCUAAAUUCUUUCUCAUUCUAAAUCCGUAGUGUCACCAUAUACACCUAUAACAUGUUUAAACGGACUUAAGAAGACAGACUUUUCGCUGCACAAACUAAACAUUUCCUUUUGGUCCCACUCGGCAAAACGUUAACACUGAAGUUCCAGAAAGACUUAAUUCACAAUUCUGCUAAGCUUCAGAUGUAAGUAAAUAUGGCUACUAUAGAAAAAAAAUCUGAUGUGUGCACCACAUGAUUUCUUUGUACGGAAUCCUAUUCUAACCUCCUUGGUUACAGCACCCUCUGUAGGCGUUUUGCAGCAUGGGGUAACUUUUUGCAGCAAGAGGUGAAAAGUGUCUGCUAAAUAAGCUAGCAUCUGCACCCACGUUUGAUCCUCAAAACAUUUAGUAAAAUCUCGUUUGAAGGUGCUGAGGACAAUGAUCCUCUCAGCUGCUUUGAAGAAGUAACAGAAGAAAGAAUAGUGAUAGAUGAAGAAUCUUUGAACUCAAAGACUAGCUUACAGUUUUUCUAAAGAAAACUCACCAAAUCCAAAACGAAAUUCAAUGGCCUCUUCAUUUGUGGAUUACUUGUUGGAUUUUGCAGUUGGGCAGGAAAAGCUGUCACACCGUGAAGAAGAG
Stegodyphus dumicola is the source of this 637-nucleotide long non-coding RNA. Lineage: Eukaryota; Metazoa; Arthropoda; Arachnida; Araneae; Eresidae. The record is from RefSeq and is a predicted model, not a curated record.